RNAcentral lists this long non-coding RNA (926 nucleotides) under Oreochromis niloticus (Nile tilapia). RNAcentral describes it as "lncRNA (ENSONIG00000028899.1)". The record is from RNAcentral. Lineage: Eukaryota; Metazoa; Chordata; Actinopteri; Cichliformes; Cichlidae.
CACGAAACAUGAAUUUGAAAAUAAUUAAAUGUAUUUUUAACAUUACUGAAAAGGAUCGUCAGAAUAAAAAUGAAAUAAAUAAGUAGUCAGAAUAUGGGUUGAUUCCAAAUGUAUUGCUAUAAUCCAUUAGUUUAGAAAAGCAUGGAUCUACGAGGCAAGCCAAAAAGGACACAGAUGGUGGCUAAAGUUGGGCAGUUGGUGCCAAACUUCUUCUUUGUCUUUAUCCAUAAACACAAAAUAGAAAGUGCAGACUCCCAGUAGGCAGCAGUCUGCCACCUACUGGCAGAGUGAACACCAUACUUGUGUAACGGAGUUUAAAAGACAUCUGAAAAACAUGCACUUACCUGGUCUUAAUUAUUAUUUUAAGUGUGAAUUUUAUCAUUUUUUGUUGUAUUUUAUUUUGAAAACCCAGAAACCGGAUCUCACUCUAGCGUUUGGAAGCUGCUAAGGCUUCCGCUCCUCACAGCGCGCGUUUGCACUGUGAGGGUAAGUUCUGUAAUGAAAGGCUCUGGCAUUUUUAUGGUUUCUGGUGUGAAUGUUGUUACAUAAGUUGUACAUGUCGAUGUAUAUAGGUUUAUAUUGAUGUUAGGAUGUUACUGUGUAACCGAAACAAAGGCUGGUUGCUGUUAAACAGUGUUUCUGCCGUAUUUAGUGGUUGCUGCGCAUAGCAGUAAAUGUGUUUGGAUUUACUGUUUUUCUGUGCUUUUUGUGAUGUUGUUUUACAUUGUAGGAGCUACAAUUGCUGGUACCACCAGAAGACACAUGUUAAGUGUUUUCUAUGUCUUCUGCAGGAAUAAACCGUGAACAGCCAACCUUUCUGAGUGUCUGUGGUUCAUGAAGAACGGAAGCGUUACACUUGGUGAUGCUCUUAAUGCAAUAGAAAAUGAGACCCAUUCUCGGUGGGUGCCCUUUGUCAUUCUGUUCAU